This 76-nucleotide transfer RNA is filed under the name Rhodospirillaceae bacterium. RNAcentral describes it as "tRNA-Lys". It matches the Rfam family "tRNA". Rfam says of the family: Transfer RNA (tRNA) molecules are approximately 80 nucleotides in length. Lineage: Bacteria; Pseudomonadati; Pseudomonadota; Alphaproteobacteria; Rhodospirillales; Rhodospirillaceae. The record is from RNAcentral. RNAcentral also lists the same sequence under 1 other name.
GGGCGAUUAGCUCAGCCGGUAGAGCAGCUGACUCUUAAUCAGCGGGUCGAGGGUUCGAGUCCCUCAUCGCCCACCA